RNAcentral lists this transfer RNA (61 nucleotides) under Dipodomys ordii (Ord's kangaroo rat). Lineage: Eukaryota; Metazoa; Chordata; Mammalia; Rodentia; Heteromyidae. The record is from Rfam by way of RNAcentral.
GGCGCUGUGGCUCAAAGUGGUAGAGCAUUAGCCUUGAAUGAAAAGCUAAAGAACAGUGCCU